Molecule: long non-coding RNA, 597 nt
Filed under: Gallus gallus (chicken)
Lineage: Eukaryota; Metazoa; Chordata; Aves; Galliformes; Phasianidae
Description: lncRNA (ENSGALG00010000839.1)
Source: RNAcentral
AACAGAACAACACCUGAUGACCCAGCAGUACUGAAGAUCAAUGACUGAACUACAAACCACGCUGGACCUGUGGUGUGGUUCUACAUUUUCAAGUUGUUCAUGGCUACAGCUGAAAAGAAAAGAAAAGAAAAGAAAAGAAAAGAAAAGAAAAGAAAAGAAAAGAAAAGAAAAGAAAAGAAAAGAAAAGAAAAGAAAAGAAAAGAAAAGAAAAGAAAAGAAAAGGAAAGAAAAGGAAAGAAAAGGAAAGUGAACUUGUCAAGUAAUGUAUUUGACAUUAAGAGAGUGAAAACCAAAAUGAACAAAAAAUGUCUUUCCAGUAGCAGUGAGUUCUUUUUUCUUGAAGAUUCAAAUGAGUACCUCCUUUUUUUGCAUUCAAAGCAUUAUUUUGUCAAGAAAAGCAGCCAGUUUGAGACAAGGAAAGAGAAGAAAAGAUGACAAGCAGCUAGAAGACGGAAGUAUUCCCACUGAGUGGUACUCAAAUGAACUAAAUGUUGAUGUCUUCUCAUCCAAUGAACUAUCACAGCAGACAAAUAGCAUUCAUUCACCAUAAUUAGUACUCCAAGGUGUCAAGGUUUUGGAAGGAGUGUUGUGUAGGGG